AGGUCCGAUCGGUACCCUCUCAGCUUCUUGGAGAGUCAAGAGUCUGCAGUGAUGCAGGUUGCUUGAUGGAGAUUCUUAGUUCUAAACUUUGUCUAGGUCACACCCCAAAGGGGAUGAGACUACUGGGCCAUUAGCUCAGGUGGUUAGAGCGCACCCCUGAUAAGGGUGAGGUCCCUGGUUCAAGUCCAGGAUGGCCAUUCGGUGUUGGGGGUUUAGCUCAGUUGGUAGAGCGCCUGCUUUGCAAGCAGGAUGUCAGGAGUUCGAGUCUCCUAACCUCCACUGACCGAACUUUGUCCCCAACUUCAAUGAUAUGGAGUUGAGCUCGAAUGGAGUGUGAUUUAGAUGUGUCCGCUGGAAGGAUCCUAGCUUCCUGUCAUUCUAAGGAUUGAUUUGAAUCAGUUUGAUUUUGAUCAAUGUUUAGUUGAUAAGAUGCUGGGCUCGAACUGAGCAAUCAGUUUGAAGUUCUAGCAGAACCUUGACAACUGCAUAGGUGAGUCUGGAAAGAAUAAAGCAUCUCAUGGAUGCAUCAUUCUUUUUUGGAUGAUGUUUGAUUCUUGAGCAAGAGCCGAGACUCCACCACGUUCUUCUGAUUGUGUCGAGCAAUUGGGAGUUUGAUCUUUGAUUCAGCAAUGAAUCAGAGAGAAUCCGUUUCAACGACGGCAAGCGUGAUGGAGAUUAAUUGGUCAAGCUACAAAGGGCUCACGGUGGAUACCUAGGCACACAGAGGCGAUGAAGGACUAGUGAUUCUAUUUUUUGAGAGCCGAGACCUUCUAGCGUUCUUCCCAAUCCGCCGAGGAGCGGGGAGUUUGAUCCUUCUUUCUAACUGAUGAGUGAGCAGAGCAAUCUGUUUAUUGAUUAAGGGAAAGUCGAGAGAAUGGGCCUCAACAGCCUGAAGCGUUAGGAGGAUUAAUUGGUCAAGCUACAAAGGGCUCACGGUGGAUACCUUGGCACACAGAGGCGAUGAAGGA
This 968-nucleotide transfer RNA is filed under the name uncultured Synechococcus sp. RNAcentral's name for it is "partial contains 16S ribosomal RNA, 16S-23S ribosomal RNA intergenic spacer, and 23S ribosomal RNA". The stretch from base 207 to 279 matches the Rfam family "tRNA". Lineage: Bacteria; Bacillati; Cyanobacteriota; Cyanophyceae; Synechococcales; Synechococcaceae. The record is from RNAcentral.